Molecule: ribosomal RNA, 252 nt
Filed under: uncultured Paenibacillus sp.
Lineage: Bacteria; Bacillati; Bacillota; Bacilli; Caryophanales; Paenibacillaceae
Description: partial 16S ribosomal RNA
Rfam family: Bacterial small subunit ribosomal RNA
Source: RNAcentral
UACGUAGGGGGCAAGCGUUGUCCGGAAUUAUUGGGCGUAAAGCGCGCGCAGGCGGCUAUUUAAGUCUCAUGUAUAACCCCAAGGCUCAACCUUGGAUCGCAUGGGAAACUGGGUGGCUUGAGUGUAGGAGAGGAAAGUGGAAUUCCACGUGUAGCGGUGAAAUGCGUAGAUAUGUGGAGGAACACCAGUGGCGAAGGCGACUUUCUGGCCUAUAACUGACGCUGAGGCGCGAAAGCGUGGGGAGCAAACAGG